GGUGCAGCUCAGUGGUAGAGCACUUGCCUAGCAUUCUCAAGGGCCUGGGUUAGAUCACCAGUACCA
This 66-nucleotide transfer RNA is filed under the name Marmota monax (woodchuck). RNAcentral's name for it is "tRNA.Ala". The record is from RNAcentral. Lineage: Eukaryota; Metazoa; Chordata; Mammalia; Rodentia; Sciuridae.